RNAcentral lists this ribosomal RNA (337 nucleotides) under uncultured Pseudomonadota bacterium. Its description in RNAcentral is "bacterial SSU rRNA". It matches the Rfam family "Bacterial small subunit ribosomal RNA", at positions 29 to 351 of the family's 1533-position model. Lineage: Bacteria; Pseudomonadati; Pseudomonadota. The record is from RNAcentral.
AACGAACGCUGGCGGCGUGCCUAACACAUGCAAGUCGUACGAGAAAUUACGCUUCGGCGUGAGAGUAAAGUGGCGCACGGGUGAGUAACGCGUAGGCAACCUACCCUUGUAUUGGGGAUAACCCCGCGAAAGCGGGGCUAAUACCGAAUAAGACCCGAUUUCGGUGGGAAUUGGUGAAAGUCGGCCGCUCGAAGAAGCUGACGUGCGAGGAUGGGCCUGCGUCCUAUCAGCUAGUUGGUGGGGUAGUGGCCUACCAAGGCGACGACGGGUAGCUGGUCUGAGAGGAUGAUCAGCCACACUGGCACUGGAACACGGGCCAGACUCCUACGGGUGGCUG